RNAcentral lists this ribosomal RNA (852 nucleotides) under Lindholmomneme nordenskioldi. RNAcentral's name for it is "partial 16S ribosomal RNA". Lineage: Eukaryota; Metazoa; Mollusca; Gastropoda; Stylommatophora; Hygromiidae. The record is from RNAcentral.
AAUUACUAAAAUAAUCUUGGAUUAAUAUACACGAAUUAGGUUGAGCUAAGUGAAUAAUAUGUUAGUACUUACUGUUAAAUGUAACACUAUUUAAUAAUUAUAUAUCAAUUAGGGGUGAUAUGCCAUUCAAAUACUAGGAUAUCUUGAUGUAUAAUAAAUAUAGUAGUAUUAAGACAACUAUAAAGUGAUUAGGCUUUAUAGGGGCAUAAUUUAUAUUAUAUACUUAAUAAAUUAUAUAACUAUAAUUAUUUAUAUCAUUUUAUUAUAUAAUUUCAACUGUAAUAUGUAAAUUAUUAUACAUUAGAGUUUUAUUUAUUAUUCUGGUUAUAAUGUAAUUAUUAGUAAAGAAUCUAGAUUCUAUAUAGGAACUCGGCAAAAAUCUUUUUCAACUGUUUACCAAAAACAUUGCCUUAUGAAUUAAUAUUAGGUUAACCCUGCUCAAUGGUAUAUCCAAAUAGCCGCAGUACCUUGACUGUGCAAAGGUAGCAUAAUAAAUUGGCUUAUAAUUGAAGUCUGGAAUGAAUGGGCCCAUGGAAAAAUGCUGUCUUUAAUGAAAUACAUUAAAUUAAUUAGGAAGUGAAAAUGCUUCCAAAGUUAUAUUAGACGAGAAGACCCUAGAAAUUUUGUAAAAUUCCUGAAAAAAAAAUAUUUUGUUGGGGCGACAGGAUAGCAUGAAACCUAUCAAUCUUUAUUAGAUUUUUGUUUAAAGGUUAAUUAAAUUACUCUAGGGAUAACAGCAUAAUAUAAUAAAGUUUGUGACCUCGAUGUUGGACUAGGGAAAUCAUUAUUUAGAAGACAAUGGUUUAUGCUCUGUUCGAGCAGUUUCCCCUACAUGAUCUGAGUUCAGACCGG